Molecule: non-coding RNA, 23 nt
Filed under: Mus musculus (house mouse)
Lineage: Eukaryota; Metazoa; Chordata; Mammalia; Rodentia; Muridae
Source: RNAcentral
UGAGAUCCAACUGUAAGGCAUUU